This 390-nucleotide ribosomal RNA is filed under the name uncultured archaeon. Its description in RNAcentral is "bacterial SSU rRNA". It matches the Rfam family "Archaeal small subunit ribosomal RNA", at positions 355 to 747 of the family's 1478-position model. The record is from RNAcentral.
AUAGGCGAAAGCCUGACAGGGUUACUCUGAGUGGUUUCCGCUAAGGGAAUCUUUUGGCACCUCUACAAAUGGUGCAGAAUAAGGGGUGGGCAAGUCUGGUGUCAGCCGCCGCGGUAAUACCAGCACCCCGAGUGGUCGGGACGAUUAUUGGGCCUAAAGCAUCCGUAGCCGGUCCUGCAAGUCUUCCGUUAAAUCCAGCUGCUCAACAGAUGGGCUGCGGAGGAUACUACAGGGCUAGGAGGCGGGAGAGGCAAGCGGUACUUUAUGGGUAGGGGUAAAAUCCGUUGAUCCAUAGAAGACCACCAGUGGCGAAGGCGGCUUGCCAGAACGCGCUCGACGGUGAGGGAUGAAAGCUGGGGGAGCAAACCGGAUUAGAUACCCCCGUAGUCC